UGGGGAAUUUUGCACAAUGGGGGAAACCCUGAUGCAGCGACGCCGCGUGAUUUAGAAGGCCUUCGGGUUGUAAAAAUCUUUUCUAUGGGAAGAAAAUGACAGUACCAUAGGAAUAAGGACCGGCUAAUUACGUGCCAGCAGCCGCGGUAAUACGUAAGGUCCGAGCGUUGUCCGGAAUCAUUGGGCGUAAAGGGUACGUAGGCGGGUAAGCAAGUUAGAAGUGAAAUCCUAUAGCUCAACUAUAGUAAGCUUUUAAAACUGCUCAUCUUGAGGUAUGGAAAGGAAAGUGGAAUUCCUAGUGUAGCGGUGAAAUGCGCAGAUAUUAGGAGGAGAACCGGUGGCGAAGGCGACUUUCUGGCCAUAACCUGACGCUGAGGUACGAAAGCGUGGGUAGCAAACAGG
This 402-nucleotide ribosomal RNA is filed under the name bacterium. Its description in RNAcentral is "partial 16S ribosomal RNA". It matches the Rfam family "Bacterial small subunit ribosomal RNA", at positions 355 to 776 of the family's 1533-position model. The record is from RNAcentral.